Gopherus agassizii (Agassiz's desert tortoise) is the source of this 679-nucleotide long non-coding RNA. The record is from Ensembl. Lineage: Eukaryota; Metazoa; Chordata; Testudines; Testudinidae.
CUUCUCCACAGAGGCCUCUGGGGUCACAGGCGGGGCAGAGGCCGAGCUGCGCAGCCUGGGGGUGGAGCUCUGUGCCAGCCCGCUGCCGCCGGGACUGGGGAAGCCCUCGCCGGGCUGGCAGCUCCCCCGGGCCCCACUGUGCGGGCGGGGAGCGCGCCUGACCCAGCCAUUGUUUCCUAUCUCCGCACCAGCGUCAGUGGAAAAUCUCCCCCCUGCCGCGCCUGGGUCGGGCUAUUUAUCCGGCGGCGCUGCCGUCACGGAGAGCGGCGCUGCUGACGGGGGAGCUGACGCUCUUGGCCGCUACCGCUGGGUUUGCGGCGGCUACAGUGGGGCUCUGUGUGGCGCUGGGAACGGGGCGCGGAGGUCCCGCCGCAGCCCCCGCUUUCUCCUCCUCCUGGCCCCCGGCUGCGGCAAGUGGGGGCCGGGCGCUGCUGCUAGCGCCGCCCCCGGGCCGCGCCUGGCCUUGUGCUGCCUCUCCUCCUCUGGCGGCGCCCGGGCUGAGCUUGGGGAGCGCGGCCCGCGCAGCUGGGGCAUGGUGCGGUGCGGCUCUGAUGGGAGGGACGCGCGGCGGACAACACAGGCAGGAAAGGAGCCAGAAAACCAGACUCUCUCUCAAUAUACUGGCACCAUUCUUCUUCCAUUGGCUGCACAAAGAGUAGAAUUGAGCUCCUAUUCCUAG